CUCGAGGUUUGUUUUUCUCCGGUGCAGCCUGGUAGGGAGGGCUCCCGGCAUCUCCCUGCGUCGGGGCAGAGGAUGCCGAGGGUAGAGUACCGGAGGGCUGGAGCGAGGGUGGACUGGAGGUGCCGCUUGUCCUGGAGGUGGGAGAGAGGGAGCGGCUUUGCCGCCUGGCCUGCGUCCUAAUCCUGCCCUGGUUCUUCUGCUCCCGAAGGGAACGCAGGUCCCGCGCCUGUGACAAAAUCUCGCUGUCUCCUUCCAACCACCUGUGGUCGGCAUCCCCGCGUUGUCACUGCGACGCAGAGGCGAGCGAGGGGGCGGGAAGCACCCGCGGGGCGGGGAGGGACCCUGCGGGCGCGGACUCCACACCAAGCCUCUGCUCAGCGUCACCCCGCUUGCUGUGUCCUCGCAGGUCGCAGCUUCAUGGCCUGAUGCCGUCAGGAAGUAUUUUGAAGUCAUCGUGGCUGUGGAUUGGGGGAUUUCUUGUUUCCACUGACCUGUGAGGCCGCGCACGUGGAGGGAGGCACCCCGGGUCCUCCGGCACUGUCCGGCCUCGCCUGUGUCCCUAGUAGCAGUGGGCAUUUCCAGACGGUGCAGCUUGUGGCUAAAGUGACAGGAAGAUGUAGGAGCUUUCAGUCUUGGAUGAGGAUUCGAACUGAAAGGGUUAGGCCCAGCUGUCUUGGAGCAAAACAUCUGUUGUGGGAUGUGGCGGCAGAGGAGGGCAAGGCCGAAGGAGCAGACAGCACCGCUUCUUGGGGAGUUGUGAAGGCAUCAUGCGGAGGGCCGAGCUUAGCAGCCAAGUGGAGGACAGCAACCUCCAUGCCUGGAUUCGUUACUCGCUCGUUCUAGAUGUUGAGCUGCUGGCAUAUUGCAGCACAACUAGAGAUGUACGGAUGCCCCCAUCUUGAUCUUACAGAAUCAGAGGUGCAGCCGCAAGAAAGCUACACCCUCUCGGUUUUCUCUGCUCUGCCAACACUAGUGGAAUAUGAUCACAUCCCAGGGAUCAGUGUCAUUUAGGGAUGUGACUAUGGGCUUCACUCAAGAGGAGUGGCAGCAUCUGGACCCUGCUCAGAGGACCCUGUACAGGAAUGUGAUGCUGGAGAACUACAGCCACCUUGUCUCAGUAGGGUAUUGCAUUCCUAAACCAGAAGUGAUCCUCAAAUUGGAGACAGGCAAGGAGCCAUGGAUAUUAGAGGAAAAAUUUCGAAGCCAGAGUCAUCUGGGUGGGUUAGUGCCAGAUGGAAUUUAAAGAAUUAAUUAAUACCAGUAGAAACUAUUCAAGAACGAAGUUCAAUGAGUUUAACAAAGGUGGAAAAUGUUUCUGUGAUGAAAGCAUGAAAUAAUUCAUUUUGAAGAGGAACCUUCUGAAUAUAAUAAAAAUGGGAACAGCUUCUGGCUGAAUGAAGACCUCAUUUGGCAUCAGAAGAUUAAAAAUUGGGAGCAACCUUUUGAAUACAAUGAAUGUGGGAAAGCUUUCCCUGAGAAUUCACUCUUCCUUGUACAUAAGAGAGCUUACACAGGACAGAAAACAUGCAAAUAUACUGAACAUGGGAAAACCUGUUAUAUGUCAUUUUUUAUUACUCAUCAGCAAACACAUCCAAGAGAGAACCACUAUGAAUGUAAUGAAUGUGGAGAAAGUAUCUUUGAGGAAUCCAUUCUCUUUGAACAUCAGAAUGUUUACCCAUUCAGCCAGAAUUUAAAUCCCACUCUAAUUCCGAGAACCCACUCAAUUAGCAAUAUUAUUGAAUAUAAUGAAUGUGGAACCUUUUUCAGUGAAAAAUUAGCCCUUCAUUUACAACAGAGAACACAUCCAGGGGAAAAACCUUAUGAAUAUCAUGAAUGUGGAAAAACCUUCACCCAGAAGUCAGCCCACACAAGACAUCAGAGAACACACACAGGGAAAACCCUAUGAAUGUCAUGGAUGUGGGAAGACCUUCUAUAAGAAUUCAGACCUCAUUAGAAAUCAAAGAAUUCACACAGGGGAGAGACCUUACAGAUGUCAUGAAUGGAGAAAUCCUUCAGUGAAAAGUCAUCCCUUACUCAACAUCAGAGAACACACGCGGGGAGAAAUCAUAUGAAUGUCAUGAAUGUGGGAAAACCUCGUUUAAGUCAGUUCUAACUGUGCAUCAGAAAACACACAGGGGAGAAGCCCUAUGAAUGCUAUGCAUGUGGGAACACCUUUCUUGGAAAAUCCGACCUCAUUAAACAUCAGAGAAUUCACACAGGAGAAAAACCUUAUGAAUGUAAUGAAUGUGGGAAGUCAUUCUCUGAGAAGUCAACCCUUACUAAACAUCUAAGAACACACAGAUGGGAAAUCUUAUGAAUGUAUUCAAUGUGGAAAAUUUUUCUGCUGCUACUACAGUUUCACAGAACAUCUGAGAAGACACACAGGGGAGAAACCUUUUGGAUGUAAUGAAUGUGGGAAAACCUUCCAUCAGAAGUCGGCCCUAAUUGUUCACCAGAGAACUCAUAUAAGACAGAAACCCUAUGGAUGUAAUGAAUAUGGAAAAUCAUUCUGUGUGAAGUCAAAACUCAUUGCACAUCAUAGAACAUACAAAGGGGAGAAACCCUAUGAAUGUAAUGUUUGUGGAAAAUUAUUAUUAAGUCAAAACUAACUGUACAUCACAGAACACACUUGAGGUGAAACCCUAU
Molecule: long non-coding RNA, 2646 nt
Filed under: Pan troglodytes (chimpanzee)
Lineage: Eukaryota; Metazoa; Chordata; Mammalia; Primates; Hominidae
Description: long non-coding RNA NONPTRT002140
Source: RNAcentral